UAAGCGCUCGGUCAGCGGCGGCUCAUGACAGGCGGGGAGGGGGAAGGAAGAAGUGGAAGCCGCGGAUCCAUCUUCAAGAGAAAAUAGGAAAGAGACCGCGUUUCCACCAGUUUUAUUUCGUUUCUUUUAGCGGCAUCCUUCCUUGUAAAUACGUGUCAGGGAGCCCGAGGUGGGGGCUGUGUCAUUGUCUGUAGGAUGUCCCGACAUGAAGGUGUGAGCUGUGACGCGUGUUUAAAAGGGAACUUCAGGGGGCGCCGAUACAAGUGUUUAAUUUGCUACGACUACGAUCUGUGUGCGUCGUGUUACGAAAGUGGAGCCACCACAACCCGACACACCACCGAACACCCCAUGCAGUGCAUACUAACCAGGGUAGACUUUGAUCUGUAUUACGGAGGAGAGGCGUUUUCAGUAGAGCAGCCCCAGUCGUUCACUUGUCCCUACUGUGGAAAAAUGGGUUACACAGAAACGUCUCUACAGGAACACGUCACCUCGGAGCACGCAGAGACUACCACAGAGGUGAUCUGCCCCAUAUGUGCAGCUUUGCCCGGAGGCGACCCCAAUCAUGUGACGGACGACUUCGCUGCUCAUCUCACACUUGAACACAGAGCACCAAGAGAUUUAGAUGAGAGCAGCGGGGUGCGGCACGUGCGCAGGAUGUUCCACCCGGGGCGUGGACUGGGCGGCCCUCGGGCACGGAGGACUAACAUGCACUUUACCAGCAGCUCCACUGGGGGGCUCUCAUCCUCACAAAGCUCCUCUUACUCCCCGAGCAAUCGGGAAGCCAUGGACCCUAUAGCAGAGCUGCUGUCCCAGCUGUCUGGCGUCCGGCGCUCGGCUGGCGGUCAGCUGAACCCUUCAGGCCCGUCAGCCUCGCAGCUCCAGCAGUUGCAAAUGCAGUUGCAGCUGGAGAGGCAGCAGGCACAGGCGGCACGUCAGCAACUAGAAACGGCGCGCAACGCCACACGCCAGCGCAGCAACGCCAGCAACAUUAGCGCCAGCGUGCCGCCGCCCAGCACCGCGACAAACACAUCCAUAACCGAGAGCAACCCCAUGGCCUCCCACAGCUCCCAGUUCCUCCUCACACGGUUGAACGAGCCGAAGAUGUCGGAGGCGGAGCGUCAGGCUCUGGAGAGCGAGCGCGCAGACCGAAGCCUGUUCGUGCAAGAGCUGCUGCUGUCCACGCUGAUGCGCGAGGAGAGCUCCUCCUCGGACGAGGACGAGCGGCGAGACUUCGCCGACUUCGGCGCCAUGGGCUGCGUGGAGAUCAUGCCUUUGGACGUGGCACUGGAGAGCCUGAACCUGAAGGAGAGCUCUGCAGGCAAAGAGCCUCCACCUCCUCCUCUUUGAUGAUAUCCCACCAACACGCAGACAAUGUCCUCUGUGCUGUAACUGCCAAUGACGGUAAGCGUAGGUAGCCGUGGCAGACCUUUCGCGUCCUGUGUCCUAACAAAAAGAAAAAAAUAAAAAAAAAAGACAAACAACUCUCCUUAUAAAUACUCCACAUUCUAAAACUGAAGACAGAGUCCUUCUCUAAUGAAGCUGCUGUGUGUAUUUAUGAAUAGUAAUUAAUAAAAAGUGCUUGGAUGGUUUACCAUAACUACUGCAUGAGGUUAUUUGCAGUGUGCAUGAUUUUUAAUGACAUUGUCAUUAAAAUGGCAAAAACAAAAAAAAAAGAAAAAAAAAACAAACAAACCCAAAGCUUUCUUUAAUUUUUUUUAAGAGUUACUUGAACUGAUUAAAAAAUGUUUUGAAUCUAUGGAAUAUUAUAGAAUCAGAAUUUAUUUAAAUAUUUUAUAAAAAAGGAAAUAAAAGCAAAAGCAAAUCUCUUUUUUUUUUUUUUUUCCCCCCCUUGAUUUUUAAAAAUGAAAUCUGCAGUAGCUUCAUAAGAAAGCAACGCAACCUUCUGUCUCCGCUCCAGGCUGCCUCACUUCCAGGCGAACCCGAUCCUCGGCCAGUGCUGCGGAAUAAAAAGAAAAGAACAUGAAGAGGGGGGACAAAUGCAAGUUAAUAGUAUAGUUUUUUUGUUAUUUUAUUUUUUAUUUUUUCCCCCAAGAACGAAAUCUAUACAGGCGAAAAAUAUAACCCGCCUUCUGUUAAUUUUUUUUUUUUCUUUCUUUUUGGUAAAUGACGAUGUUUUUGUGACAACUGUGUAAUCACCAGAUGUACUUUCUCACUUUUUGCACCUGUACAGAACAGUUAGCCUCUCCAUACAUGAUUCAUCUUGCUCUGCUUUUUCCAAUAGCGCCUGCUGC
This is an RNA transcript of Clarias gariepinus (North African catfish), 2252 nucleotides long. It is a transcript of the gene named potassium channel modulatory factor 1, with no coding region annotated. The transcript is spliced from 8 exons. The record is from RefSeq and is a predicted model, not a curated record. NCBI's taxonomy places the organism in Eukaryota, Metazoa, Chordata, Actinopteri, Siluriformes, Clariidae.